CGGGAGUAACGCGUGGGUAACCUGCCUCAUACAGGGGGAUAACAGUUAGAAAUGACUGCUAAUACCGCAUAAGCGCACAGUGCUGCAUGGCACAGUGUGAAAAACUCCGGUGGUAUGAGAUGGACCCGCGUCUGAUUAGCUAGUUGGUGGGGUAACGGCCUACCAAGGCGACGAUCAGUAGCCGGCCUGAGAGGGUGAACGGCCACAUUGGGACUGAGACACGGCCCAA
This 229-nucleotide ribosomal RNA is filed under the name uncultured bacterium. RNAcentral's name for it is "partial 16S ribosomal RNA". It matches the Rfam family "Bacterial small subunit ribosomal RNA", at positions 106 to 334 of the family's 1533-position model. The record is from RNAcentral.